CCCCCUUGCAAUGGGCAAAGAGAUACCUUGUUGGCGGUAGUGUUCUAAUAUCAGCCAGGGGCAGAGAAGAUGCCAGUCCUUUUUUUAUCCUAGCUUGAUACCUGGCUUGGUGGCCAAAGCUGUUUUAUGCCUAUGAUAAAAGU
Molecule: small nucleolar RNA, 143 nt
Organism: Apodemus sylvaticus (European woodmouse)
Lineage: Eukaryota; Metazoa; Chordata; Mammalia; Rodentia; Muridae
Product: small nucleolar RNA SNORA48
Exons: 1
Source: RefSeq, a predicted model, not a curated record